UGCGUAGGCGGACUAAUAAGUCAGUGGUGAAAUCUCUCGGCUCAACCGGGAAACGGCCAUUGAUACUGUUAGUCUUGAGUUCGGUUGAGGUAGGCGGAAUGUGUAAUGUAGCGGUGAAAUGCUUAGAUAUUACACAGAACACCAAUUGCGUAGGCAGCUUACUAGACCGACACUGACGCUGAGGCACGAAAGCGUGGGUAGCGAACAGGAUUAGAUACCCUGGUAGUCC
RNAcentral lists this ribosomal RNA (229 nucleotides) under uncultured bacterium. RNAcentral describes it as "partial 16S ribosomal RNA". It matches the Rfam family "Bacterial small subunit ribosomal RNA", at positions 568 to 796 of the family's 1533-position model. The record is from RNAcentral.